ACCCUAARAGGGUGGUAAACUCCACCUAAGGCUAAAUACCGCCGUGAGACCGAUAGCAAACAAGUACCGUGAGGGAAAGUUGCAAAGAACUUUGAAGAGAGAGUUCAAGAGUACGUGAAACUGCUCAGAGGGAAACAGGUGGGCCCUCGAAAUCCUGUGGCGGGAGGAUUCAGUCCGGGGCACCGGARGCGCGUGGUCGGAAAACUCAGGAAGGGCUUCCCGAGAAUCGGGGCCGUCCGGCCGCGCCGUUCCGGGCGCCCCAGACGCAUUUGACUCCCGCCCGAAGGACGCAGCAACCGGUCGGGCCGAGCAAACAAGACGGCCUGAAAGGCGGGGACUGGCAGUUGGCCGAUGGAGCGCCCCCCCAGGGUGCUCUCGCCGGUUGUUAGCCGCCCCGUCGGUGGCCCGUCGCCCGACCGAGGUGUCGAAAGGUCCCACGCGGGACCUCUCCGUCUCUCCCUCCACAUGCGGAGCGAGGGGGACAGACCGUCGCUGGUGCAAUCCGCCGCGUGGCCGCAGCCCCCAUGGYUGGGCCGUCAGGUAGCAGGCGUCGUAGGCGACGGCGGACCCCCCGGAGGCCGGAGGCUCGCUGCGAGUAGGUCGGUCACCCMCCUGACCCGUYUUGAAACACGGACCAAGGAGUCUAACAU
This 650-nucleotide ribosomal RNA is filed under the name Cocalodes macellus. Its description in RNAcentral is "eukaryotic LSU rRNA". It matches the Rfam family "Eukaryotic large subunit ribosomal RNA", at positions 285 to 681 of the family's 3401-position model. Lineage: Eukaryota; Metazoa; Arthropoda; Arachnida; Araneae; Salticidae. The record is from RNAcentral.